ACGUGCCAGCAGCCGCGGUAAUACGUAGGUGGCAAGCGUUGUCCGGAAUUAUUGGGCGUAAAGCGCGCGCAGGCGGAUCAGUCAGUCUGUCUUAAAAGUUCGGGGCUUAACCCCGUGAUGGGAUGGAAACUGCUGAUCUAGAGUAUCGGAGAAGAAAGUGGAAUUCCUAGUGUAGUGGUGAAAUGCGUAGAUAUUAGGAAGAACACCAGUGGCGAAGGCGACUUUCUGGACGAAAACUGACGCUGAGGCGCGAAAGCCAGGGGAGCGAACGGGAUUAGAUACCCCGGUAGUCCUGGCCGUAAACGAUGGGUACUAGGUGUAGGAGGUAUCGACCCCUUCUGUGCCGGAGUUAACGCAAUAAGUACCCCGCCUGGGGAGUACGMCCGCAAGGUUGAAACUCAAAGGAAUUGACGGGGGCCCGCACAAGCGGUGGAGUAUGUGGUUUAAUUCGACGCAACGCGAAGAACCUUACCAGGUCUUGACAU
Molecule: ribosomal RNA, 485 nt
Filed under: uncultured bacterium
Lineage: Bacteria
Description: bacterial SSU rRNA
Rfam family: Bacterial small subunit ribosomal RNA
Source: RNAcentral